CUGCUGCCUUCCGUAGGAGUUUGGGCCGUGUCUCAGUCCCAAUGUGGCCGGCCACCCUCUCAGGUCGGCUACUGAUCGUCGCCUUGGUGGGCCGUUACCCCGCCAACCAGCUAAUCAGACGCGGGUCCAUCUCAUACCACCGGAGUUUUUCACACCGGACCAUGCGGUCCUGUGCGCUUAUGCGGUAUUAGCAGUCAUUUCUAACUGUUAUCCCCCUGUAUGAGGCAGGUUACCCACGCGUUACUCACCCGUCCGCCGCUAA
RNAcentral lists this ribosomal RNA (262 nucleotides) under uncultured bacterium. RNAcentral's name for it is "partial 16S ribosomal RNA". The record is from RNAcentral.